This 231-nucleotide ribosomal RNA is filed under the name uncultured bacterium. RNAcentral describes it as "partial 16S ribosomal RNA". It matches the Rfam family "Bacterial small subunit ribosomal RNA", at positions 15 to 236 of the family's 1533-position model. The record is from RNAcentral.
GAUAUGGCUCAGGAUGAACGCUAGCUACAGGCUUAACACAUGCAAGUCGAGGGGAAACGAUAUUGGAAGCUUGCUUCCGAUAGGCGUCGACCGGCGCACGGGUGAGUAACGCGUAUCCAACCUGCCCACCACUUGGGGAUAACCUUGCGAAAGUAAGACUAAUACCCAAUGAUAUCUCUAGAAGACAUCUGAAAGAGAUUAAAGAUUCAUCGGUGAUGGAUGGGGAUGCGU